CCUGACAUCUUACUUGGCAGCAUUCGAUGUGUUUCCAUAUUCAAAUACUGCCUGGUAAUGAUGCCAGU
Molecule: non-coding RNA, 68 nt
Organism: Branchiostoma floridae (Florida lancelet)
Lineage: Eukaryota; Metazoa; Chordata; Leptocardii; Amphioxiformes; Branchiostomatidae
Source: Rfam